This 451-nucleotide ribosomal RNA is filed under the name uncultured bacterium. Its description in RNAcentral is "partial 16S ribosomal RNA". It matches the Rfam family "Bacterial small subunit ribosomal RNA", at positions 29 to 523 of the family's 1533-position model. The record is from RNAcentral.
AACGAACGCUGGCGGCAUGCCUAACACAUGCAAGUCGAACGCCUGUAGCAAUACAGGAGUGGCAGACGGGUGCAUAACACGUGGGAACCUACCCUCGGGUUCGGAAUAACCGCGGGAAACUGCGGCUAAUACCGGAUACGCCCUAUGGGAGAAAGAUUCAUCGCCCUUGGAGGGGCCCGCGUCGGAUGAGCUAGUUGGUGAGGUAACGGCUCACCAAGGCGACGAUCCGUAGCUGAUCUGAGAGGAUGAUCAGCCACACUGGAACUGAGACACGGUCCAGACUCCUACGGGAGGCAGCAGUGGGGAAUAUUGGACAAUGGGGGCAACCCUGAUCCAGCAAUGCCGCGUGGGUGAUGAAGGCCUUCGGGUUGUAAAGCCCUUUUGGCAGGGACGAUGAUGACGGUACCUGCAGAAUAAGCCUCGGCUAACUUCGUGCCAGCAGCCGCCGUAA